UCCUCCCGGCCCGGCCCCACGCAGCGGCGGCGGGGCGGAGGAGAGGGCGGCUCCCAGGCGAGGAGACCCCGCCCGGCGCUACCGAGGCGGCCGCCGACGCGCGUCCCGGCGAGAGACGACGCUCGCUCCAGGAGAAGCCCGGCCUCGGCAAGCAUGAUAGCGGGGGACACUGUCAUCGUACCUGGAUCGCUGGAAGAACCCACACUGGGGUGAGGAGAAAAAGAAGAGUUUAGACUGAAGUUGCUGUGGAAGUACAACAACUACAGAGGCAAUGCAUUCUUCAUAAAGAUUCAGAGGGAAGAAGUGCAAGACAAGCACAAGCAAGACAAGUUUCUCAUCUGACCAAAAAAUUCCCUCCCUGUGGCUCCUACUAAGGCUGAAACAUUAAGCAGAUACAUAGCCAAUACUCGUUUAGGGCACUGCCCUACUCCGAGCCGUGUAGUAAGAAGUACUAUGCACUGCUCAACUGCACUGUGAUCUUCAGGCUGCCUUCGGCCAUCUAAGAAGCACAUGAACCGCAUCACAGGCAAGAUGACACCAGCUGGUGAGGAAUUAACUCUACAGGACCGGUUCCAUCUUCUUUUCCUCCCUUGGGUUCCGAGUCAGACUGGAGCAGUUAGUACUGUCCCUAUAGCCAUAAAUAACCCAGAGUUGUAUCCUGAGCCUUAGUCUUGUCUUUGAAGAAGUGAGGUUAAGCUGCAAGAAUAUAAUUAGACGGAGGAGCCUCACUGCACCCCCAUUUGAUGAUAUAGCUGGUAUCCUGCAGCACCAUGGGAGGUGAAUUUGAGAAAGAACUAUGAAGCUACAAAAAUAACAUUAUCUGCUAAAUCUCAAAAGCUUUUUCUCUCAGUAGUGUAUGAAAGAAUAGCUUGCAUCAUCAUUAUUAGUACAAGCUCUCACUGCAGCUCGCUCUCACUCCUAAGUCACAGCUGCAACAUCCAGAGCUACGGAAAUACAUAGGAGCAAUUCAGCUGAUGGCCCUCGGUAAAGUUAAGGUUAGACUGAUCAUCCUAGGCAACAGGCUGAUGAAAGAGGGCUCCUUUUUUAAACUUUACCAAACUGGUUUUCCAUGUUUCUGUAGCAAGAUGUUUUUUUAAAGAAACAAUGUAUCAUGAACGGAGGAGUGGACAACCUGAAAAUAAAAAGUCUGUUCCACAACCAAGAUUCAUCCUGUUGCCAAGAUUACAAAGAAGGACCAACUCAGAGUUAGAAAAAUAAUUUAAAAUGUCUACAGUCUCAAGAAUUUUAUUUUGCUAAGCAGAUGUUUAAGUCCUUAAUUCUAAGAAAUUACAAUAAUACAGCAAUGGAAAUUACUUUUCAGGAAGCUGCACAGAAACACAGAUCAUUCAGAACAUUUACAAAGAUGUUUUGGGUCUACAGGAAGCUAGACCUGUAA
Molecule: long non-coding RNA, 1396 nt
Organism: Phasianus colchicus (ring-necked pheasant)
Lineage: Eukaryota; Metazoa; Chordata; Aves; Galliformes; Phasianidae
Source: RefSeq, a predicted model, not a curated record